GGUAGCAUAAUCACUUGUCCCCUAAAUAGGGACUGGUAUGAACGGCUAAAUGAGGAUUAAACUGUCUCUUGUAAUUGACCUAUGAAACUGAUCUUGUAGUCCAAAAGCUACAAUAUAAACACUAGACGAGAAGACCCUGUGGAGCUUUUAAACCAAAACCAAAUAUAUGCCUCUUGGUUUUUAGUUGGGGCAACUUCGGAGUACAAACAAACCUCCGACAAACCACAAAUCAAGACAAACAAGUCUAAACUUCACUUGACCCAAUAGUUUUAUAAACUAUUUGACCAAUGAACCAAGUUACCCCAGGGAUAACAGCGCUAUCCUCUUUUAGAGUCCCUAUCGACAAGAGGGCUU
Molecule: ribosomal RNA, 354 nt
Filed under: Mesalina pasteuri (Pasteur's lizard)
Lineage: Eukaryota; Metazoa; Chordata; Lepidosauria; Squamata; Lacertidae
Description: partial large subunit ribosomal RNA
Rfam family: Archaeal large subunit ribosomal RNA
Source: RNAcentral